GGACUACACGGGUUUCUAAUCCCGUUCGCUCCCCUGGCUUUCGCGCCUCAGCGUCAGAUGAGGUCCAGCGUGCCGCCUUCGCCACCGGAGUUCCUGUGGAUAUCAACGCAUUUCACCGCUCCACCCACAGUUCCGCACGCCCCUACCCCCCUCGAGAUCGCCAGUAUCCGAGGCCCUUCCCCGGUUGAGCCGGAGGAUUUCACCCCAGACUUGGCAGCCCGCCUACGCGCCCUUUAAGCCCAGUGAUUCCGAACAACGUUCGCUCGGUUCGUCUUACCGCGGCGGCUGGCAC
This 292-nucleotide ribosomal RNA is filed under the name uncultured bacterium. RNAcentral describes it as "partial 16S ribosomal RNA". RNAcentral also lists the same sequence under 2 other names. The record is from RNAcentral.